GUUGACAUAUGAAAACAAAACCGAUUCUUUAUAUAAUGUCCCUAUUGCAAGUGCUAUUCAAGAGUUUAUGCAGGUGCCAUACAUCCUGUUCCUCAAACUGAGCUUGAACCUGAUAAUGAACACCCAUCAAUGUUGCCACCUCCUUUGAGGAGGCAACCAGGAAGGCCAAGGAAGGCUAGAAAGAGAGAUGAGAGUGAACCACCAGCAAGAGGAAGGAGGACAACAACUGUCACUUGUGCUAGGUGCUUACAAACAAGCCACAAUAAGAGAAGUUGUCAAUAUGCUGCUGUUGGGGCAAAUAUGGCUGCAAGUCAAAAGAAGAGAAAACACACUACUGCAUCAAGUGCGGGGACUUCAAGAGGGGUUAAUACUAAUCAAGUGGGAUCAAGUGGUGGACCAACUAUCUAAAGGAGCCUUUGGAAUAUCCAAUGAUCUUUUUGAGAAUGUUGUUAGUUGAUGGGAUAUAAUUUGUACAUUUUGGGAAAACAUGUAUUUUGGGGCAUUGGAUUGAGCUUUUUGUCUAUUUGGAAAUAUUGUAAAUCUGUGCACAGAUUCUUUUUUGAGAGUUUAUCAUAGAUAUUGGUACAGUGCUACAAAUAUUGGCCUUACUUGAUCAUUAAAAUGGCAGUAAUAGAUGUAUGACAUUGUAAUGAUCAAGUCUGAUUUUGUAAAGUCUCAUUUUGUAAUA
Long non-coding RNA from Manihot esculenta (cassava), 688 nucleotides. RefSeq lists it as uncharacterized. The transcript is spliced from 3 exons. Lineage: Eukaryota; Viridiplantae; Streptophyta; Magnoliopsida; Malpighiales; Euphorbiaceae. The record is from RefSeq and is a predicted model, not a curated record.